This 252-nucleotide ribosomal RNA is filed under the name uncultured bacterium. Its description in RNAcentral is "partial 16S ribosomal RNA". It matches the Rfam family "Bacterial small subunit ribosomal RNA", at positions 524 to 776 of the family's 1533-position model. The record is from RNAcentral.
UACGUAGGGGCGAGCGUUGUCCGGAGUUACUGGGCGUAAAGGGCGUGCAGGCGGUGCGGUAAGUUUAGCGUGACAGUCUCCGGCUUAACUGGAGAAGGCCGCUGAAAACUGCUGGACUUGAGGGCCAGAGAGGGACAUAGAAUUCCGGGUGGAGUGGUGAAAUGCGUAGAUAUCCGGAGGAAUACCAAAGGCGAAGGCAGUGUCCUGGCUGGCAACUGACGCUGAGGCGCGAAAGCUAGGGGAGCGAACAGG